RNAcentral lists this ribosomal RNA (450 nucleotides) under uncultured prokaryote. RNAcentral describes it as "bacterial SSU rRNA". It matches the Rfam family "Bacterial small subunit ribosomal RNA", at positions 355 to 796 of the family's 1533-position model. The record is from RNAcentral.
UCGGGAAUUUUGGGCAAUGGGCGAAAGCCUGACCCAGCAACGCCGCGUGAGGGAUGAAGGCCUUCGGGUCGUAAACCUCUGUCGGGAGGGAAGAACGGUAGCCUUUCAAACAGGUGGGCUGCCUGACGGUACCUCCAAAGGAAGCACCGGCUAACUCCGUGCCAGCAGCCGCGGUAAUACGGAGGGUGCAAGCGUUGUUCGGAAUCAUUGGGCGUAAAGCGCGUGUAGGCGGCUUGGCAAGUCGGAUGUGAAAGCCCGGGGCCCAACCCCGGAAUUGCACUCGAAACUGCCUCGCUAGAGUCCCGGAGAGGAAGGCAGAAUUCCCGGUGUAGGGGUGAAAUCCGUAGAUAUCGGGAGGAAUACCAGUGGCGAAGGCGGCCUUCUGGACGGUGACUGACGCUGAGACGCGAAAGCGUGGGGAGCAAACAGGAUUAGAUACCCCUGUAGUCC